This 777-nucleotide ribosomal RNA is filed under the name uncultured Neocallimastigales. RNAcentral describes it as "partial large subunit ribosomal RNA". It matches the Rfam family "Eukaryotic large subunit ribosomal RNA", at positions 23 to 645 of the family's 3401-position model. The record is from RNAcentral. Lineage: Eukaryota; Fungi; Neocallimastigomycota; Neocallimastigomycetes; Neocallimastigales.
AUAGAGACUCAGAGCUGCAUAUUAAUAAGCGGAGGAAAAGAAACUAACAAGGAUUCCCUUAGUAACGGCGAGUGAAGCGGGAAGAGCUCAAAUUUGAAAUCUUCAAGGUUCUACCUUGACGAAUUGUAGUUUAAAGAAGUGUUUUCUGUUAGAUGAGUAGCUAAAAGUUCCUUGGAAUAGGACAUCAUAGAGGGUGAGAAUCCCGUAUUUGACCUUAUUCAUUCCAGCGUUGUGAUACACUUUCAAAGAGUCGGAUUGUUUGGGAAUGCAGUCCAAAAUGGGUGGUAAAUUUCAUCUAAAGCUAAAUAUUGGCGAGAGACCGAUAGCGAACAAGUACCGUGAGGGAAAGAUGAAAAGAACUUUGAAAAGAGAGUUAAACAGUGCGUGAAAUUGUCAAAAGGGAAGCGUUUGACACCAGUGUUGUUUUCUCGAAAAUCAAUUAAAAAAGGCUGGAUUUUGUGUUGUAUUGACUUUAUCAGCUUUCUGCACUCUUUUCUUGUCUUUUUUAAUGCACUUUUCGUUUAACAAGUCAACAUCAAUUUCUUUUGUUGUAAAAGGGUCAUUGGAAGGUGGCUUUCUUUUCGGAGAAAGUGUUUAUAGCCUUUGGCCUCUGCAAUCGGAGAGAUUGAGGUCUGCAGCGUAGAUCCUUCGGGGUUAGAUACAUUUGUGCUAAGUUAUAGCCUUUCAUAGACAACUUGUUGACUAUGAUCAGUCAUGUAGCUUACUCGCUUAUGCUAUUUUACCUACGCUUAGGAUGUUGAAGUCAUCGUAUCGCGC